Molecule: transfer RNA, 71 nt
Filed under: Marmota monax (woodchuck)
Lineage: Eukaryota; Metazoa; Chordata; Mammalia; Rodentia; Sciuridae
Description: tRNA.Met
Rfam family: tRNA
About the family: Transfer RNA (tRNA) molecules are approximately 80 nucleotides in length. Their secondary structure includes four short double-helical elements and three loops (D, anti-codon, and T loops). Further hydrogen bonds mediate the characteristic L-shaped molecular structure. tRNAs have two regions of fundamental functional importance: the anti-codon, which is responsible for specific mRNA codon recognition, and the 3' end, to which the tRNAs corresponding amino acid is attached (by aminoacyl-tRNA synthetases). tRNAs cope with the degeneracy of the genetic code in two manners: having more than one tRNA (with a specific anti-codon) for a particular amino acid; and 'wobble' base-pairing, i.e. permitting non-standard base-pairing at the 3rd anti-codon position.
Source: RNAcentral
GGGGUUGUGGCUUAAUGGUAGAGUACUUGCCUCAUAUGCAUGGGGCACUGGGUUUGAUCCCCAGCACCACA